AGAAGACAAAUCAGAUUUAAAUGAACAGUGUAACAAUGUAACAGAGAGAACAUUGUCAGAAACAGUCUGUGAAUUAGAGGAUAGAGUUGAAUUAAGAAAUGAUCUUAUUUGCCAGCUUAGAAAUGAAGUUAAACUAGUGUGUGUUAAUACAAGAAAAAUACAGGCACAGAAUCUAAUCCCAGAACCAACAGAUACUGAAAAUGUAUCCUCACAGAAUGACG
Molecule: non-coding RNA, 221 nt
Organism: Pelobates cultripes (western spadefoot toad)
Lineage: Eukaryota; Metazoa; Chordata; Amphibia; Anura; Pelobatidae
Source: the annotation of a GenBank genome assembly